This 497-nucleotide ribosomal RNA is filed under the name uncultured bacterium. RNAcentral's name for it is "partial 16S ribosomal RNA". It matches the Rfam family "Bacterial small subunit ribosomal RNA", at positions 28 to 507 of the family's 1533-position model. The record is from RNAcentral.
GAUGAACGCUGGCGGCGUGCCUAAUACAUGCAAGUCGAGCGAACAGACGAGGAGCUUGCUCCUUUGACGUUAGCGGCGGACGGGUGAGUAACACGUAGGCAACCUACCUAUAAGACUGGGAUAACUUCGGGAAACCGGAGCUAAUACCGGAUAAUAUUUCGAACCGCAUGGUUCGAUAGUGAAAGAUGGCUUUGCUAUCACUUAUAGAUGGACCUGCGCCGUAUUAGCUAGUUGGUAAGGUAACGGCUUACCAAGGCAACGAUACGUAGCCGACCUGAGAGGGUGAUCGGCCACACUGGAACUGAGAAACGGUCCAGCCUCCUACGGGAGGAAGCAGUAGGGAAUCUUCCGCAAUGAGCGAAAGCCUGACGGAGCAACGCCGCGUGAGUGAUGAAGGUCUUCGGAUCGUAAGACUCUGUUAUUAGGGAAGAACAAACGUGUAAGUAACUGUGCACGUCUUGACGGUACCUAAUCAGAAAGCCACGGCUAACUACGUG